This 333-nucleotide long non-coding RNA is filed under the name Elaeis guineensis (African oil palm). Its description in RNAcentral is "long non-coding RNA (EGUI_LNC004540)". The record is from RNAcentral. Lineage: Eukaryota; Viridiplantae; Streptophyta; Magnoliopsida; Arecales; Arecaceae.
UGUGGACGCUGUCUUGCAGGUGCUCGAUACCGACGACAGGUGACAGGGAGUUGGCCGUAAUAGAUUGGCGCAUCAGGUAGGGGAGAAAGAUAACAUUGCAUCAUGACAAAAAUCAGAGCCCAACGCUCGACUGCAAUCGGAUCAGCAAGACGCUCUUCCCGUCGGGAAGAGGUUCCUUCCCCUCUUCCAGUAGCAGAGCCUAGUUCUUCACGUCUCGUGAUCACCACGAACGUCCAGAUUGCUGCACUCGUGCAGCAAAUGAAUGUUCUUACGAAGGCAGUCAAAAGCCUCCAACAAUAGCGACCCAGCAGCAGCUGCCAGCGGAGCCACCGG